CAAUAGCGUAUAUUAAAGUUGUUGCAGUUAAAAAGCUCGUAGUUGGAUUUGUGGUUGGAGCGGUCGGUCCGACACUGAGUGUGGGUACUUGACUGCCUCCGUCCAUCCUUGGGUGGAACCUGUGUGGCAUUAGGUUGUCGUGCAGGGGAUGCCCAUCUUUUACUGUGAAUAAAUUAGAGUGUUCAAAGCAGGCUCACGCCGUUGCAUAUGCUAGCAUGGAAUAUAAGAUAGGACCUUGGUACUAUUUUGUUGGUUUGCGCACCGAGGUAAUGAUUAAUAGGGACAGUUGGGGGUAUUCGUAUUGCAUUGUCAGAGGUGAAAUUCUUGGAUUUUUGCAAGACGAACGACUGCGAAAGCAUUUACCAAGGAUGUUUUCAUUAA
Molecule: ribosomal RNA, 381 nt
Filed under: uncultured eukaryote
Lineage: Eukaryota
Description: partial 18S ribosomal RNA
Rfam family: Eukaryotic small subunit ribosomal RNA
Source: RNAcentral